AUGGCACAAUCUAACAAGGAGAAUGAGAAUCCUAUCUGGUUACCUCAAGUUGGUCUGAAAUUCAGAAACUUAGAUAAUGCUUGGUUGUUCUGGGUAAAUUAUGGAGGUCGUGCGGGUUUUGAGGUCAGAAAAAGGUAUAAAAAUAUGAGUAAAUUUGACGGGAAAGCAACAUCAUGUAGAUAUGUGUGUGCCAAGGAGGGUUUUCGAGCACACAACAAGAGGGAUCAUAUCACAAAGAAUCCUCAAGCUCAAACAAGAACAAAUUGUGAAGUUCGGAUGACACUUUCAUUGGAUCGAGUGGCAGGGAAUUAUGAAGUGGUUGAUGUAAUGCUUGUACACAAUCAUGGUCUUUACUUGCCACAAACAUUCCAUUUGAUGUUAUCACAAAGGAAGAUUUCAGAAGUUCAAGCUUUUGAAAUUGCGAUAGCCGAUGAUUCUGGAAUUAGGCCAAAAGCUUCACAUGAGCUAGCUAGUCGUCGAGUUGGAGGACCAAUGAAUCUCACCUACACUCCUCGUGAUCUAAAAAAUCACUUGCAGGGUAGGCGCCAGAGAGAGUUGGCAUAUGGACAGGCAGGAAGCAUGUUGAAGUAUUUUCAAGACAAGAUCGCCGAGAAUCCUUCUUACCAAUAUGCUUUGCAAUUGGAUUGUGAGGAGAAUAUAAGCAAUAUAUUCUGGGCUGAUGCUAAGAUGGUCAUUGAUUAUGCACACUUUGACGAUGUUGUCAUAUUUGAUACUACAUUUGGCACAAACAAAGAAUAUGGACCUUUUGGGAUUUUUGUUGGACUGAAUCAGUUCAGGGAGACCGUUAUUUUUGGUGCUGCUCUUAUGUUUGAUGAAACAUUUGCCUCUUUCCAAUGGCUAUUUAAGGCUUUUCUAGCUGCACACAAUGGAAAACAACCUAGAGCUAUAUUUACUGACCAAGACACUGCAAUGGGAAAUGUUGUCGGGGAGGUAUUCACAGAAGCAUGGCAUGGAUUAUGUACCUUUCACAUAAUGCAAAAUGCUGUGAAGCACUUAUGCAAUAGCAAAGCUGAUGACUCACAUUCUCCAAAAGAUAAAAAUGGGGCAGAUGAAGAAGAAGAAGAAGAAGAACCACACAUUCUCUCAGAUUUUAGUGCUUGCAUGUAUAACAUUGAGGACACGACGGCCUUUGAAGAAGCAUUUUACAUCAUGAGGAAUAAGGUGGACGAAAAGAAGAUGUCAUGGCUGGAUAGCAUCUACAAGUUCAAGGAAAAAUGGGUUGAAUGUUACAUGAGAGAUGUCUUCACAUUGGGUAUGAGAAGCACACAAUUAAGUGAGAGUUUCAAUAGUGACUUGAAAAAACAUUUAAAAUCAGAUUUUGACAUCAUUCGGUUCUUGAAGCAUUUCGAAAGGGCGGUGCAAGGAAAAAGAAACAAGGAACUAGAUGCAGAAUUUGAAGCUAGGAAAAAGUUACCUAGAAUAAGCAUGAAGACACCCAUGCUAUUGCAAGCAAGCAAACUUUACGCACCCACAAUAUUUGAAGCAUUUCAAGCUGAAUAUGAAAGAUCCAUGGCUGCAUGCACUAGAGCAUUGGAUGGAAAUAACACAUAUUCUGUUGCAAUUGUGAGGGCUGAUGGUGAUUUAAGUUCUGAACUAGAGCGCAUUGUUGUUGGUGAUUCUUUGGAGAAAACAUCUUCAUGUAGUUGUGGGCAGUUUCAAAGGACUGGAAUAUUGUGUGGCCAUGCAUUAAAAGUUCUUGACUUGAUGAAUAUCAAGCUGUUGCCAAACCAUUACAUUCUAAAGAGAUGGACAAGGGAAGCAAGAUAUGGAACUAUACAAGACAACAAAGGAAAUAGCAUCAUUGAAAAUCCAAAAAUGGAUGCUAUGCUCCGAUAUAAGUCUUGGUCUCACACAUUCCUAAAUUUGGCAUAUCAAGCCACAAGCUCUCCAGAAUAUUGCAUAUUGGUGGACAACACACUAUAUUGCCUCCAGAAGCAACUUCAAGACAAACUUAGUGCAUCUACAAGUAUUUUGAGUGAUUCAUAUCAUGUCCAACAUGCUGUUCCACAAGAUGAAGGUUUGCUUAGUGCCGCACGCUUAAAGAAAAAGGAGGUUAAAGAAAAAACUUCCAAGAGGCGUGGCAGUUGGCUCGAGAGGAUGCGCAAGUUCAAAAGGAAAAAGCAAACUAAAUCUAGCAAAAAGAAGAAUGGUGGUGGUGGUGUGAAAAGUCAAGUACCAAUGGAUGUCCCUCAUAAAUCUAGCCAACAUGAGAAUGGUGGUAGUGUAGGCUCUCAAGUACCAAUGGGUGUUUCUCAUAAGGACGGCAAUGCCUUCACCAGCUACACAAAUUUGCUAAUGGGUUUUAGUGAAAUUGAUGAUAUGUCCUUUCAAGGUCUUCUUUAG
This 2364-nucleotide ribosomal RNA is filed under the name Triticum aestivum (bread wheat). RNAcentral's name for it is "partial small subunit ribosomal RNA". Lineage: Eukaryota; Viridiplantae; Streptophyta; Magnoliopsida; Poales; Poaceae. The record is from RNAcentral.